GUGCUCACUUUAGCAGCACAUAUACUAAAAUUGGAAAGAGAGAAGAUUAGUAUGGACCCUGCACAAGGAUGACGUGUAAAUUCAUGAAGAGUUCCAUUAAAAA
This is a small nuclear RNA of Suncus etruscus (white-toothed pygmy shrew), 103 nucleotides long. The record is from RefSeq and is a predicted model, not a curated record. Lineage: Eukaryota; Metazoa; Chordata; Mammalia; Eulipotyphla; Soricidae.